This 218-nucleotide small RNA is filed under the name Firmicutes bacterium CAG:646. RNAcentral describes it as "Clostridiales-1 RNA". It matches the Rfam family "Clostridiales-1 RNA". Lineage: Bacteria; Bacillati; Bacillota. The record is from Rfam by way of RNAcentral.
AGAUACCAGGGGCAAAAGGUUAUAAAACACGUUGUGCUUGCACAUAAGUGUUUUAUAACCUUUAUGACCCGCCCAAAUAUGAGGAUAAAAGUAGGACGACGCCCCACGAUAUCCGAAUUUGGGGCAGAAUUGUGAGGUGCUGCGUGCCAGUGGCACGCGUUUAGCACCGACCGAAGUGAAACGUAGAUGCGGAGCACGAAACAAUUUGUCAGGUAUCU